CCAGCAAUUGCGGUUAUACAUACAGUGAAUUCAAAUUGUUCGGUUUCAGUAAUUUUUUUUCUUACUUAAAGUGUUAAUUUUUAAGGUGAAAUUUUAAAUUAUAUGUGAGUUAUAUAUUAUAAAGAGGCUGAGAACUUCAUGCUAAAGACUAGGAUUAGAUACCCUAUUAUUAUGACUGUGAAUUUUUUUUACUGAAUUAGUAUUAGUUAUGUUCUUGAAAGUUAAAGAUUUUGGCGGUACUUUAGUCCAUUCAGAGGAACCUGUCCUGUAAUUGAUGGUCCACGAUUUAAUUUACUUUCUUUAUUGGCUUGCAUAUCGUCGUGGUUGAAUAUGCUAUAAGAUUAAUAAUAUUCGAGAUACUUUAUUGGGUUGGAUAUCAGAUCAAGGUGUAGCUUAUGGGAUAGUAGAGAUGGGUUACAAUAAAUAUAUUUAAGGAUUUAUUUGUUAAAAUAUAUAAUGAAUGCGGAUUUGGCAGUAAUUUUAGUUAAAUAACUAAUAUGACUUUGGCUCUAAAAUAUGCACAUAUUGCCCGUCGCUUU
Molecule: ribosomal RNA, 539 nt
Filed under: Rhaphipodus fruhstorferi
Lineage: Eukaryota; Metazoa; Arthropoda; Insecta; Coleoptera; Cerambycidae
Description: partial 12S ribosomal RNA
Source: RNAcentral